This 749-nucleotide long non-coding RNA is filed under the name Chinchilla lanigera (long-tailed chinchilla). Its description in RNAcentral is "lncRNA (ENSCLAG00000023661.1)". Lineage: Eukaryota; Metazoa; Chordata; Mammalia; Rodentia; Chinchillidae. The record is from RNAcentral.
GCCAAGUGCUGGGACUGGCAUGCCAUCCUACCUGCUCAACACGCCCAGCAUUGCUGAUGACCUCAUGUACAGUGCUGGCUUGGGCAUAAGCAUCACCCCCUCUGGAACUGCCUGCCUUCCAAACAGAGAUGGCUCAGCCUCUCAAGCCAGGGUUCAUAGAACGGUGGUUUCCAGACCAUGUGUAGAGCUCCGGAAUUCUGAGCUCCAGGCUAGAGGAAGCCUGAGAAGUCCAGGGAGCUCCCAAAGAGCCAAGCUACUCCGCUGGAGUCUCUCUGCCAAGCAUAUGGCACCGACAAGCUCAAUCUAUGCAGCAUCAAGGGAUGGAAAUUACAGAACAGAAGGUCAGGAACAAAAUGAGAUCUUCCACCACUAGUAGGAAGGCUGCAAGUGAAAGGCCACCUGCUCCUCUGGCCCCACUGGCAUCUCUUGGUGUGCUAUAGCCACCCCACAGUCCAGCUAGUGCCAAGCCUGAAUGGCCACCCUCACAUCUUCAUCUUCCUGCCUGGGCCAUGGACUCCUUAGGGGAGGUUGUGUCUCAGCUCCCCCAGCUCAAGCCAUGACAAAAGAGAAUGUGCAUCAAGGAUUGUCCAGGGAUUGAUCGUCCUGGGGUCUGAAAUGCUUUUAGACAGAGGACCUGCGGGUGAACUCAGCCCUACUUCUUUAAGCCUGUGGAGGCUACAGCUGGUGUUGACUGAAUCCCACCCACUGGUAUCAUGUACUACCUGGGAAUAAAGCAGCAGUGCCCUGGC